GCCCACCCUAAGUGCUAAGCAGUAUGUCAUCCAGUCUGAAAUGGAUACAAAACGUGCUAAGCAGCAAUUUGCUCAACGUUCACGGGUUCGGAAACUUCAAUAUAUAGCUGAACUGGAAAGGAAUGUGCAAGCUUUACAGGCAGGAGGAUCUGAAUUUUCUGCUGAGCUUGAAUUUCUCAACCAGCAGAAUCUUAUUCUGACCAUGGAGAACAAAGCCUUGAAGCAACGUUUAGAAAGUUUAGCCUAGGAGCAGCUGAUAAGUAUUGUAAGUUUUCAUACUUCUUGAAGCUUUUUGAAUCGUAUUUGCUUCUGUUGCUUGGAAGCCCCCAACUCAGGUAUAAUCAAUCCUACAAGAAUUAUGGGAAUAUUGAUAAUGGAUGCUGUUUGAGGGUAAUUCUGAAUCUGAAUUCUUAGAUGAUAAUUGAAGAUAUAAACUGUAUAGGAAUGAGCAUAAAGGAAUAUUGAGCUAACUGUAAACUUCCAGUGGUUUUUGCCUAUAUGUCAUUGAAGCAGGGGAAAAUUUUUGUUGUAGCAUUACAUAAUUUUUAAAACAUUUCUUUUACAUUUACUGUAAGAAAACAUUAAAUUUCUGGGCGUUUUCUGCAUGAAUGCUCCUGGAACUGCUAUA
Molecule: non-coding RNA, 628 nt
Organism: Camellia sinensis
Lineage: Eukaryota; Viridiplantae; Streptophyta; Magnoliopsida; Ericales; Theaceae
Source: RefSeq, a predicted model, not a curated record